Molecule: ribosomal RNA, 294 nt
Filed under: uncultured bacterium
Lineage: Bacteria
Description: partial 16S ribosomal RNA
Source: RNAcentral
GGACUACAGGGGUUUCUAAUCCGUUUUGCUCCCCACGCUUUCAUGCCUCAAUGUCAGUAACAGAAUAGUUAACUGCCUUCGCUAUAUUGAUGUUCUUUUAUAUAUCUACGCAUUUUACCGCUCCACAUAAAGUUCCGUUAACCUCUCCUGUACUCAAGUUAAGCAGUAUUACCGACUUCCACGAGGUUGAGCCUCGAUUUCCCACCAAUAACUUGCUAAACCAUCUACGCAUCCUUUACGCCCAAUAAUUCCGGAUAACGUUCGCGACCUAUGUCUUACCGCGGCUGCUGGCAC